Long non-coding RNA from Bombus pascuorum, 430 nucleotides. RefSeq lists it as uncharacterized. The record is from RefSeq and is a predicted model, not a curated record. The transcript is spliced from 2 exons. NCBI's taxonomy places the organism in Eukaryota, Metazoa, Arthropoda, Insecta, Hymenoptera, Apidae.
CGAAAAGGAAGAGGAUUAUUCGGUUAUGGUUGCUGUGAAUAAAGAAAUACUGUGAAUUGACACUUUCGAAUGAAAAUAACAACGGGCUGUUAUUCAGACGAUGAUGAAAAAAUUUGGGUAGAUCCGCAAUACAUUAAGGGCGAUCUCUAAAACGAUCGGAGGCAAAUACAUCUACUGGGAGGUCGAAAAGUCGUGGACGAUUAAGGAAAUGCGGUGUAUCUAUGAAAAUGCACAAGAUGGCGGAUCGCCAUUGUCGAAGCGAUGGCGUAGUUGGCUUACCUUGACCGGUAGACAGGCGGCGAUCUUGAGAAAUAUUUGCCGUACGUCUCCCUCACCUUCGAAAAUUGGUACCGAAACACGAUCCUUCACGAGACAUAAUCGACACAGGUCCAGAUAGUCGAGGGAGGACAUUUUACCGUGUAAAACGCCA